RNAcentral lists this ribosomal RNA (253 nucleotides) under uncultured bacterium. RNAcentral's name for it is "partial 16S ribosomal RNA". It matches the Rfam family "Bacterial small subunit ribosomal RNA", at positions 524 to 776 of the family's 1533-position model. The record is from RNAcentral.
UACGGGGGGGGUAAGCGUUGUUCGGAAUUACUGGGCGCAAAGCGUGCGCAGGCGGUGAUGUAAGACAGGUGUGAAAUCCCCGGGCUUAACCUGGGAACUGCAUUUGUGACUGCGUCGCUGGAGUGCGGCAGAGGGGGAUGGAAUUCCGCGUGUAGCAGUGAAAUGCGUAGAUAUGCGGAGGAACACCGAUGGCGAAGGCAAUCCCCUGGGCCUGCACUGACGCUCAUGCACGAAAGCGUGGGGAGCAAACAGG